GAUUUUAUUUUUUUAAAAAGACAUCUAAAUUUAAAUUCGUCUAUAAAAGUAGGAAGAGCUGCAAAUUAAUAAUCCAUUAUAUAAAUUGUAUACGUUAUUUCUCAAAAUCAAAUUAGAAAGACCACGUAAGGAUUUACUUUAAGCCGUUGGUAUCACUGUUACAACCAAUGGGGGAAAGGCAGAAGUUUAGAAAUAUGUAAAGAUGGCAACUAGUAAUAAAAACGGUUCAAAAAUAGCAUAAAUGUUCCAGGUCUAUGGAAACUAGCCAAUACUAUCAUGCUCCCUAAGAGGAAUGAACUUUAAGGGAAGGGGUAAAUCACUGACCAACCUUAACCCUACAGGACACAGGCCGUUAUCUCUUCUAAAUAUCCUAAGUGAAAUCUUCAAAGAAAGUCUCCUAGAUUUUACUACAGAAAACAAUACGAUUCCUUUAUUCCAAUUCUGCUUCUGAGAAGAAGCCCUUCGAUCAAAAGUGACGUGCCAAACGUGCAUAGUGGAUAAGAUUUGAUGGAUAAUAUAUAAUGACCAUGGGAGUUGGCAAGUAGUAAAACAGAUACAGUAGUACUAAAAGGACCAAGGUUGGACCACAUAACAAACUGUCAUAAAUAGUGUGAUGUUAAUGUCUUUUUGGUCCCAAUUAAUUAAAACUCUAUUGUUUGGAUAACUUUAUAUUUACAUCGUAUAAACGGUGAUUCAACCAUAGUUGUUUACAAAUACAAAUCAUUACCUAUACCACACAUUUGUACAUAUCAAGUAUCUAAUUAUAACAACUCUUGAAUUUA
Diabrotica virgifera virgifera (western corn rootworm) is the source of this 782-nucleotide long non-coding RNA. RefSeq lists it as uncharacterized. NCBI's taxonomy places the organism in Eukaryota, Metazoa, Arthropoda, Insecta, Coleoptera, Chrysomelidae. The record is from RefSeq and is a predicted model, not a curated record. The transcript is spliced from 2 exons.